This 455-nucleotide ribosomal RNA is filed under the name uncultured bacterium. RNAcentral describes it as "bacterial SSU rRNA". It matches the Rfam family "Bacterial small subunit ribosomal RNA", at positions 349 to 793 of the family's 1533-position model. The record is from RNAcentral.
CAGCAGUGGGGAAUAUUGCACAAUGGGGGAAACCCUGAUGCAGCCAUGCCGCGUGUGUGAAGAAGGCCUUCGGGGUUGUAAAGCACUUUCAGUAGGGAGGAAGGUAGUGUAGUUAACACCUGCAUUAUUUGACGUUACCUACAGAAGAAGCACCGGCUAACUCCGUGCCAGCAGCCGCGGUAAUACGGAGGGUGCGAGCGUUAAUCGGAAUUACUGGGCGUAAAGCGCAUGCAGGCGGCCUGUUAAGUCAGAUGUGAAAGCCCGGGGCUUAACCUCGGAAUUGCAUUUGUAAACUGGCAGGCUAGAGUCUUGUAGAGGGGGGUAGGAAUUUCAGGUGUAGCGGUGAAAUGCGUAGAGAUCUGAAGGAAUACCAGUGGCGAAGGCGGCCCCCUGGACAAAGACUGACGCUCAGAUGCGAAAGCGUGGGGAGCAAACAGGAUUAGAUACCCUGGUAG